Molecule: long non-coding RNA, 11475 nt
Filed under: Nicotiana tabacum (common tobacco)
Lineage: Eukaryota; Viridiplantae; Streptophyta; Magnoliopsida; Solanales; Solanaceae
Description: long non-coding RNA (NTAB_LNC002167)
Source: RNAcentral
CCAGCAACGGUAGACCUAAAAAAAACAAAGACACGGCCUCCUCCCCAAAAAGCUAAGAGUUGUAGAGAGCAAAAAUGAGUAGCAGCUUCAUGUAACGCGCAGCUGCUGCUAUUGACCUUAUUCCCUCAAGCCAACACCGCCUUCUUCAUUAACAAAGGGCCAAAAACUCUAUUAUUAGCACCAUUCUCGUUACUAAACCCACCUCAGAAACAACCCCUUUCUCUCUCCCUAAAAGACCAUGAAAACUAGUCACAAACUUUAGCCUUAGACCAUGAAUAAAUGCAGCAGCUCAACCACCAAAAUACUGCGCCUUUCUCCUUUGAAAAACAGCCCAAAAAUCCAUGAAAACUGACCAAAAACUCCAGAAAAAUGCCCCUCAAACUUCAGCUGAAAAAGCUGUCGGAAAGCAGCUCAAAAACGUCCCCUUUUUCAAUCAAAAACUCAGCGUUGUUAACCUGCAAAACCCAGCAGAAACGAUUCAAAACAGCCCCCAUUUCGGACAUAAAAUAGCAGCGUCAAAAUUGAGUUUCGAGUUCGACGGCGAAGUUUUCCGGUUGAAAUCUUGUUCGCGUUUCCGGUUCCGAUGCCAUGGUCCGAUUUCAAUUUUGUUAGCUCAUUGGUCACUGCCAUUGUACAAAGCUUGGCUUGGAGUUUCUCUUUGUUAAUAUAUUGAAGAUGGUUUUUUCACCGGUGAAGGUGCGGUUUUGUUUUACUUUACUAAUUUUUUUUAAAUGAAUAAAAUGCAUCUUCUAUAGAUUUGCAGUUUAUAACUUGCAUAAAACUAGCCUGCUGUUUAGUCUCUUAAUGUUUUAGCAAGAAUUUGAUAAAGGUCUAUUUAGUUGAAGUCUUAUUUGUUCUCAUGUCUAGUGUGAGUUUCUAACUUUCUGUUACUAUGCAUUAUUAGAAAUAAAUAGCUGUAGUAUUUUAAUAUUGACCACAACUGGAUAUGGCUACAAAAUAUCUAAGGGACUAAAUGUGACAGAAUUGGUUAUAUUACAAAGUUGGCGACAAGAUGACAAUCGGGCCAAGAACGACUCUGCCCAUGCCCAAUUGUCUCAUUUCAGUUUUGGUCCUUUCUCAAUAAGUUCACUAGUAAGCCCAUUUCUUAUAACUUAAUAAAUUGUCCAACUCCUUCUAACUUAGCAAGAUAAUUGAACUUGUUAAUGUAUCAAGAGCUAAUCAUACACAUCUUAUUCACAGUCAUUGCUCCAUAGUUCUCAUGCCAAAUAAAACUCCUAAGCCCAUGACCCUCACAAAAAUUAGCUAGCUCUUAUAGAAAAAUCGAGGUGUGUCAUUAGUUGAAUUUUCCAUGGCCCUCGCAAAAGGUGUAGUUGCUUUAGGCGCGUAAUUUAAAUUACUUUCCUAAAUUUGGGUGUGCAUUUAUAUGACCCAAAUCCAAAUCUCAACAAUGUUAGAUAAAAUGUGUCAUGGACCGCGGGAGCAUUUAUGUGACGUGGUUCAAGACGCGUUUUAGAUGACGUUGAAUCUUUCCUAAAAAAACAAUUAAAUAAAAGCGGUUAAUAAUUUAAAAUUAUACCAUAUGCUAAAACAUGUAUUAACAUUAGAUAAUAGGUCAAUUAUAACAGUUGAGCGACCGUUAUAGAACCACGGAACUCAGGAAUGCCUAACACCUUCUCCCGGGUUAAUAGAAUUCCUUAUCUAGAAUUUCUGGUACGCAGGCUUUAAGAAAUAAAAUUUCCUCGAUUUGGGAUUUUAAAAUAAACUGGUGACUUGGGACACCAUAAAUUAUCCCAAGUGGAGACUCUUAUUUUUAAAUAAAUAAUCCCGUUUCGAUUGUUACUUUAAUUGGAAAAACUCCCUCAUAUACCCUUCUCGGAGGUGUACGUAAAAAAGGAGGUGUGACAGCAUAGGUCCUUAUAUUUAGACCCUCAAUUUCUUUGCCUCCUUCAACACCCUGGACUCGGCUUGUGAGCUUCUUGAGCUCCUCUGUCAUGUUCUUAAUGAGCAGGUCCUUCUCGGUGGAUUUUGGAGUGUAUGAGAUUGGCUGAGUAGAGUGGGGUAAGGUUUCCACAUAUAUGGGAUUGUUUUGGUGGGUGUCGGCAGUUGGAGUGUAGUGGUGAACAUUAGUUGAAUUUUGCGGAUCAGGGAUAGGUUGUAAGGUAUUCUGAGGAGUAUGGUAAGUGGUUUGUGGGUAUUGAGUAGGAAGAUGUUGAUGCUGAGGAGGAGUGGGUAUUGAUGGAGGAUUAGGAUUUUGGGGAGUUGUUGCAUAUUGAUAGGGCACGGGAGGAUUUUGUGGACAUUGGUUUGGUGUGUUCUGAGGAGGUGAUGGGAUUUGAGCAUUUUAUUGGUUAAUGCCUGGGCCGUUUAGGGUGAGGGAGAGGUUUGCCAAGUUGCGGAUCUGCUCAAGUUCCCCUUGCAAUUCCAGUAUUUUCUGUUCUAACCGUAGGACCAAAUUAUUCUGGGCCGGAGUACUUCGACCGUCUGAAGUUUCAACAUUUUCCACAUGCGCAACAUUUUCUUUCCGGAUACCACUCAUAUCAUCCAUCUUAGUUUUUCCCUUGCCUUUUGGAUUACUUGGAGGAGGAGGGCCUCUAGAUCUAGUGAUAUGCUGACGAUGCCAGUAUGUGCGAACAAACCUUAGGGGAUGAGAAUAAUCAAAAUAAAGAAAAGUGUAAAAAGGUAAACAAGUCAGUAAAGAUUCUGAAAAGCAUUUGCAGCAUUUAAACACAUAUUGCGAGAAUGUAAAUUCACGUCCUAAUUUGGAGAACCUCAUUAUGCUCGAGGUAAACCCUGAGACAAGUAGAUUUGGAGAGAUUUAAUGACGAUAAAUGCCUCAUUUCAUUAAUGUAAUAAAUAAGACGAACCUAAACAUGACAAUAAAUAAAUGAGUUACUAAUGGUAUCAGCCUUAUUACAUUCGAAUUCAAAAAUAGAUAAACCUAAUAUACUUGGUCCUAGAGGGACCUUCCCCAUAUUUGACCCUCUUGGCUCUGUCAAUUAAAUUCCCCAGGUCGUGCAUGUCCAGUAGCAGGUAUGCCCUUGCUAGGUGUCCUCCCUCAUUGCUUUUUGCAUUCUGUCAGUCUACGACUCUUUUCCUCAUCUUCCCUUCCAGUUCCAUUAGACCAUGCUCCAAAUAUUCCAACUAUUCUGUCGGCCUUGUAGCCAUUUCCCUCCAAAUGUCUAACUUGUGUUAUUCAAAAUGCAUGGCUUCAGACCCAAGGACUCUUUUGCGUAGCCUCUUAUACUUUACUUGUGCUUCAACAACCUUAUCUAUGAUUGUAUUUCCUUGACCAAUCCCUAGCUCGACUAUUCCUGCUAUGUUAUCUUCUAAUUAUGAUGGAUAGAAGUACGCAUGAUAUGCGUGAUAUCGAUCUGGCUCGAUGGUAUCCUUUUCUACGACAAUCUUCAAAUGCCACAUGUGUUGGGCCUUACAUAUGUAUGGCAUGGUGUCAUCCUGAAAAUCUGCUCUGUAAUGACUCAUUUUGGAGACUCGUGGUAUGACUUGUUUUCUACCAGCUUGUCUUAUGACCCUGAUAGGAACAUAGGGAUGUAUUCCCCUUAACCUAAUCAGUACCAAAUGCGGAACAUCCCUGGAUCUGAUGAUGAAUUCAUUAGUAGGGAACCACUCGAACAUCCAGUGAACCUGGUCCUCGGUCAAAUUGCUGAAGAACUAUGCCCAUUCUGUAGCAUUCACUGGCUGUGCAAAUCUGUCUGGGAUAAAGGUCAUUCUUUUGGGAUGGUGGAAAGCUAUGUGAUCAUUCCAUGGUCCCCUUGGAUACUCUUGGUAGUAUUGGCCCCUCUGAAGAUGUUCUAACAACCAAAUCUGUAGUAGCAAGUUACAACCCUCAAAAUGUUUGAACCCUUUCUUGCAACAAGGAAGGUAGAUUUUCAAGAACCUUUUUUACAUGAUUUUUGUCGCUUGGUGAAACGUUUUCCCAUCAAUAUAACAAUAAAAGUGGUAUACUUUGGACCAUGCUGAACCUGGGGACUUCAUACCUCAUUUUCUGCAAAAAUAAACAGAGUUAGACCCUUGCCCCCUCCAGAUUCGACUACUUACACAUUAACGAUUAGCAUGUUGACAUUUAUCUCUCCAAAUGAUGCACAUAUCGUGGUUGCGCCCGUUAGAAUUAUGGAAAUCCUAGUGGACUUUGGACAAGGUUUUCUUAGAGGGUUAUUAUGCCGACAAAAUAUUAACCCAUGCUAGGUUUGAUCAUGAUGCAUGUACAGUUAUUACCAGAGUAAGGUUUCUAUAGAAGUCUAGACUACUACCCUCAAACGGACAACUUAAGAGGGAAAGGCGCGGAACCGUCGACUGCACCACUGAUCGACUAGUUUUAUCGCAAAUAAGUCUUUCCAAAUUUAAAGGGUGAUUUUAGGAAGAGCGCGGACAUUCAUCAAGCACCGCUAUAGUAUUAGUACGCAAGAGUGGAAUAUGAUGUUGAGCAUGCAGUUAUGCAAAAGAAAAUAACAUGUUGCCAAGUAUUUGCACGAUGAAUAAUGAUAAAAUGCGGUAUUUAAUAAUUGUAAAGACAUUAAGAAAGAAAAACAAAGAGACAAGUCAGUCUGCAUAGCAAAAAAAUGAUGAAACGGGGAAGAGAAAUCAUAAAUGAAUGAAGAUAGACAAAUAAAUUCACAUAGAGUGGGAAGGGAAAAUGGGUGUACAAGUAUUAACGGAAUAAUAAAGACAUGCUUAAAGACUAAUUCACAAACAAGUUUGUUAUGGUAAGAGCCUAAAGAUGUCCCCAGCAGAGUCGCCAUGCUAUCACGCCCCCUUUUUCUUGCGAAAUCGGGUUUCGACAUUUCUGGGACAACUCCUUUUGAGAGGGUAGGGAAUUGGGAUUAAAAGAGUCGCCACCUAAUGGAUUAAGGUGUGUUAGGGCACCUGGAGCAAAUAACUCAUGUUACUAGUUUACAUCACCAGAGAUCGAGUAAGGGCUCGAAAUUACCUUGAGGGGAAGGUGUUAGGCACCCCUCGAGGUCCAUAAUGGUGGGUCCUGACCAAACUUAAAUUAAGCAAAUUAGUCUAACGGGAAGAAAGCAAUCUGGACAAAUAAAAUACGCAGUUUAUUUAAAACAGGAAUAAGGGGGAGGGGGAGAGUCCUAAGUUUUUUAGCCUAUAGGAUCAUCCCGUGUAAUACUUUGUAACUAUCUCAAGUCGGGGUGUCACUCAUAGUACUUAGCGCACGGACUAUCACCUCCUGCUAUCCGAUUACUAUCUUUAAGUUGUUACCUAAAGCAUUCUAAUUGAUUAUAGUUCGAUCCCUAUGCGUGCACUACCCAUCCCUUACCUAUGGCCCUAGAGGUAUUAUGACCUCUAUUUGGGAUAGUUCUAGACUAAGUCUAGGUUGCUCGAAAAUGUAAAAGACUAAGCGACAAACAAAAACAAUUAGGACUUUCAGACAACAAGCAAAUAUAGGCUCAUAUUGACCUCCACAUAUAAAUAACAAAGCACGCAAUUGAUACAACAAACCUUAUUAACCUUAAGACCCUAUAGGCAAGAUGUCUAUACAAGAAAAUAGAGUGCAGAUGCAAUUUUAUUAAGGCAAGUGUUAAAACCUGUUGUUUGCCUAUUGAUUUUUAUUCAGUAUGAUGUGGGCAGUUCAGGCAGUAAUACAUCAUAAUUAUAGGUCUAGAAUUAUUAAAUCCUACAGGUAUAUUGCCUAAGUGAUUGCAAAGAGCGAUUGUAUUCAGAAUCAAUUGAUAGAAUUCUAUAGGCAUGAUUUCUACGAGUUUGAUGAUUACAGACCUAUAGACAUGGUUUCUAGGUGUAGCACCGACUUUAACUUACAGAGAUUGGUUAUAUUCCCUUUUAAUCCUAGAGGCAUGAUCUCUAACUGAUAUACUUACUUAAGUCCUAUAGGCAUGAUUUCUACGUUUGAAACUGGUUUUAGUCCUAUAGGCAUGAGAUCUACUACUGAAUUAAUUUAAAUCCUAUAGGCAUAAUUUCUAACUAAUUUUUCAUCCUAUAGGCAUGAUUUCCACGAGCUGUGUAUGGGUAGAAAUUAUGCAGAUUGCCAGAAAACCGAUCAAAUCAAACAUCGAGGUCCUAUAGGCAUGAUUGCUUAUGCACAUUUGUUGGAUUAUCUAUCCUAUGAGCAGGAUUUCUAAUAUGUAUUUUAAUGUCAACCCUAUAGGCAAGACUUCUAAUAUGCAAACGCAAAAUUAACACCAUCAAUGAAAAUCCUAUAGGCAGGAUUUCUAAACACAAUAUAGAACUCACACAGUUUUUACCAAAUGAACGAAUUGACAGCAUAACUAAAUCCUAUAGGCAGGAUCUUUUCCCAGUUUUAACAAAAAAAAUAAGAAAACCCUCCAGCUUUACUAAAUAUUCCCAGAAUCUGUUAUUACAAAGUUAUUAUAGACCAGAAUAUCAAAAGAAUUACACAAUAGUAAUGAGACACUAUAGGGAGCCUUCAUUAUGCCCAAAUAAACCUGGGGACUAGGCCUUCCAACCAUAACAACUUUGAGGCACAUCAUAGUGAUCCAUCUAUAGCACAUUAGAACCAGGGUUUCCAUGUGUCAAAGUUCCCAAGGGCCUCAAGGACCCAGAGCAAUGCUCACACCAGAACCAUACAUUCAGAAGAUAGCUCAUAAAAGAUUGGAAAUCCAAUGUGUCAGAGUUCACAGGAGUCUCAUGUGGACCCUGAGCAUUGCUCAUACUGGAGUGGUUGAGAACCUAAGGGACUAAGAGUGGGGGUUUUAAAAUUAUUACAUAAAAGAGGUAGGGGCAGGAUUUUUAAAAAAAAAUUUGCUUUCAGAAGAAAUAGGGUUCAGAACACAGCGUUGCAAGCUGAAAUACACCAAACAAAGUAAUGCUCAAACACAUAAUUCAAGUAAGUUAAGAGUCUAGUUAAGCUAAACAUUUAUGCUAGCACCUAGGACAAUCAUUGUUUAAUCAUAGAAGCAAUUAGGCAAACACUUAAGUUGGUCAGACGUAUGAAUUAUGUAACCAUACGAAAAUCUGUAGAGUUAGGAUUAAUGAACCAAUUUCAUGCUAAUAGUAUUAUAGAGAUACUAAGUUCAGAACAAGUGUAGGAUUAGCAAAUAGUGCAUGAAACAGAUUUAGACAUUAGGCUAACUUAUAAGAGGAUUCAUAUUAUUCAAACUAAUUAAGCUUAAACUAACAGUGUCACUCAUAGGACCAGAUGAGAUCAUAGAAUCACAUAAAACGACAGAAUCAUACUUGGAAUUUAAACAUGCUAGUCGAGCAAAGCAGAGAGAAUGAAAUUGCAAAGGAUUAGGGCAUACCAGUUAAGUAAGAAAGCAAGUAAAUAUUAUACAGCAGUUAAGUUCCAGAAUAACUUGGCUUUGACUUUCAGCCGGCCAAAACCAGAGACAAUUAGCACAGAAUUAGAAUAAGAGAGCUUAAGUUUUUAGUGAGAGUAUGAGAGUUCGAGUCUGUAUUCAAGGGAUGGAGGGGGAAAGGGUUUAAAUAGUGUUCAAUUAGGCAGACCAAUAAGGGAAUAAAUCAUAUAUACAAAAAUAAAGAAUGAAAAAUAAUUCUAGAAUCAAUCAAUUAGCAGGACAUAACAGCGUGUAAUCAGGCAAGUACUACUUAGACUAAGGUAAGUAUUUUACAGAAUCAAUCAACAGUCAAAUACAGGAUCGACUAAGGUAAGGAAAUAAUGAGAAUAUGGUAAAUCGAGCAAAAUAAGGAAACAUCAGUACCAUACAAGAAAGGAAAGAUUAGAAUCUUAGCAAAAGAUUUCAGAACCCUAAUUUUUGGGUAAACCAUAGAAUCAGCGGAGUAAAAUAAGGUAGACAAGAGAAUAUUCAAAACGCAAACAAUAAAAUCAGCACAAUAUCACAUAAUGAACCUAGACAGGAGUUUUUAAAGAAAACAUAAGAUUUGAACCAAAUCUGGUUCGAUUAAAAAAGCUUAAAACCCUAGUUUAGGUAAGUAAAAAAUUUAAUGGAAAAUAGGCAGAUUUAUGAGUAACAAGGUGAAUACAGACAAAAAAAAAUAUUAAAAACAAACUAAACUUGAACCAAAACUUGUUCGAAUCAAAAAACUGAAAGCCCUAAUUAAUUUUUAAAAGAAAAAAUUAUUAAGAAAUAACUAUGAAAAUCAUAAUAAAGGGUGUAUAUAGAUAGAUUUACGGAAACAUUACAGAGAAUAUUCAAAAAAAAGAAACUGUAACAGAUCUUGAAAGAUCUGAACCCUAGUUUUAGGGUAAUUGAAGAAUCGGGAGAAUCUUAGAGAUUCAUACCAUAAGAGACGAAGAAAUAACAUAAAAGGAAAGAAAAUGAAAGUUCGAACCAGAUUCGGUUCAAAGCGAAGGAGAUCGGCUAGCCAUAGUAGGCAAGCUAUUAGGUUAUGCCAUAAUCGAGUAGCCAGUAGCGAGAUGAGAUUGAUAAGGUAAGAAAAUCACCAAGAGAUUCCAUAUCUGAUUGGAAUCAAAGGGGAAUUUGAGGGGAUUUAGGUGACGGCGACUAGGGUUUGACAGAGAGAAAAGGAGAGGUUGAGAGAGUUCAAGGGCAGCGGGUAAAGGGAAAUGGGGUUAGGGUUUCUAGGUUGGUAUAAUUAAAAGGGGCUGGGGUAUUGGGAGCCGUUGAUCUUCUGAGAUUAACGACUGGGAUUUUAAAGAGGAAAUGGGUCGGGUUAAUGGGUAUUGGGCUGAUGUAUUGGGCUGGGAUAAUGGGUAGUGUAAGAAAAGGGCUAGAUUUUAAAUACUCAAUUAAAUCAGUAAAUAAUUUAUAAAAAAUAAUUAGUAAAUAACAAAAAAUAUAAUUUGUGCAUGAAAAUUAUUUUAAAUAAUUACUUAACAUUAUAAAAUAUAUAAAAUUAUUUUUAUAUAAAUAAUGUAAUUAUGUAUAUAGAUAUGGGCUAUUAUUGCAAAAUAUGCAAUUUUAGCCUAAGGAUGCAAAAAAUAAAUAUAUAAAAAAUAUUUAAAGCUUAUUAAGGAUGUAAAUGAUGAAAAAUUAGAUAAUAAAUUAUUAUAAAAUUAUUUGUGAUCCAAUUAAUAAUUAUUCAUAUAAAAAAAUGCAUGAAUAAAUUGAUUAGAAGCCUUUAAAAAUUAUAGAAAAUUAUGAAAAGAAUACUCGGUAAUGCUCAAGCACUAUUUUGAAGAUAUAUAUAUGCAUAUUUAAAAUAUGUGAGGGAAAAUUGGGUAUCAACAACCGUACCCCCUCCUUUGGUCGAAGACAUUCAUGAUUUGGUUAGUCGGGUCCUCCCUCAUACAAUGGGGAUUCGCUAAUGGCCAGCCUUCCUCAAGAAGUUAGGGCCUGCGCUUUCUGUGACCGGUGAGUUUACCCAUUUAAAUCUAUAUUGUCGUGGCCUUAUGGUCGCUUGCUUCUUUUUAUUUUGUGAAGACCGACCUUUUAACCUUCUUUUUUUUUAUCCCGGGGAUCCUCGAGAAGGCCCGAGGUCCCCUCCUCAUGCAUUUUGCAAGAGGAACACUCCAACUUCGUAGUCCGCUCCUACUGUGACUAUGGCCAGGCCUUCCCGACUGUCCACUUCCAUUUUGCCUCCUAUUGAGGCUAGGUCGGCUCGGUCAUCGACUGCAUUAACACCAGAAACACCAGCCUCUCCCUUGCUUCAUUUAAUAGAUGAAGAGUCAUCACCGAGCGAGGAGGGUUUGAUCUUUCGUAAAAGGAGGUCGGUAGGCGUCGAUGAAAGGACAAUCCGAGCCGUAGAUUCAACAAAGGGUGAUUGCGAGUCGGCCACCAUCAUGCUUGAAGAUGAUGUAGAUCUGUCAUCUGAAGUCCCGCCAUUAGCGGGGGCCGUGGAAGGCAUACCCUUCCACAAUGUCGUGGUUAGAGUUGGUGAGCCACAUGUGGAAGUUUCGGGUACCGUGCUUUGAGAUAAGCCUUCGUACUCAUGGACGGUUGACGUUCCUACCUUGUUCACCGACGGGAGAGAUAAGGGUGUUGCUUAGGACGGCUACGAAAUGGGCUCUGAUCUUUACGCCGAUAAGGUACAGAUACUGAGUGAGGGGUUUACUCGGGUUGAAUUAAGGUUAGAAGGGUCCACGCGGACCAUUGUGAUCCUUAUGGAUCGGGACUUACUAGUGAUCAAGAUUCAGAGACUCUGCAAAGUGAUCCUAACAGAAGAGCAUGGUCCGUGUCCAAAUUGCACGGCCGUGGUUGACGCUAAUGCGAAGGAGACAACUUUUACGCUCCCAGCAAAAUCAAGUCCAAACCAAGCACAAAAGAGAAGAAAGAUCUGCGUCUGCUUUUGCACGGCCACGGAAGUCCAAGCGCUGAUGUGCUCAGUAUUGCGCUGACAGCAAAACCUCCGUAGGGGUAUUUUUGUCCAGUAAUUUUAGUUAUGUAUAAAUAGAUCUUUUUCACAUUUUAGGUCAUCUUUUGUAUCAGGGAGCUCGUGAACAGCCGUACUUUACCACUUUGAGUAAUUUUAGAGUAGCUUUAGCUUAUAUUCUUAGUUUUAAUUCUUGUAAUCAAUUUUUAUGGCUUAUUUUUCAUUUUCAUCUUUGAUUUAUACCUUGAUUAUGAGUAGCUAAACCCCAUUAGCUAUAGUUGUGACCCAACCCUAGUGUGGGCAUUUAAUGGGUCUUCAAUUUUAGGGCUUAAUUGUUUAUGGAUUAGUGAUAUUUAGCUUGAUCCAUGCUUUAAUUGUAGAAUUGGUGGUUGCAAACAUUGAUUCGCGCCUUUAUGACUUAGAUUCUUCUNNNNNNNNNNNNNNNNNNNNNNNNNNNNNNNNNNNNNNNNNNNNNNNNNNNNNNNNNNNNNNNNNNNNNNNNNNNNNNNNNNNNNNNNNNNNNNNNNNNNNNNNNNNNNNNNNNNNNNNNNNNNNNNNNNNNNNNNNNNNNNNNNNNNNNNNNNNNNNNNNNNNNNNNNNNNNNNNNNNNNNNNNNNNNNNNNNNNNNNNNNNNNNNNNNNNNNNNNNNNNNNNNNNNNNNNNNNNNNNNNNNNNNNNNNNNNNNNNNNNNNNNNNNNNNNNNNNNNNNNNNNNNNNNNNNNNNNNNNNNNNNNNNNNNNNNNNNNNNNNNNNNNNNNNNNCAAAGUCACUCAAACUACCAAGAGGUAUAGAGUGAGUAACUAUGUGUAAAGGUUAUAUCAUGACCCCAAAUAUAACAAGCUUGUCCUAAAUUUUAGAUCCUAUUAGAUACUCGCCUUGGUGUAACUCACUUCCCUAGUGCUUUUUGUCAAUUGAGAAAACUUUUACAAAAAUAUUGUACUUAGUUUAUUUUCAGCUAUCAAUAGUAUUAAACAUAGAUUAGAAACACAUCCAAACAUGGUUAGAAGUGCAAUUAAAAGCAACACGCAUAGUUAGAUUAGAUAGAAACCUAACUCCCAACCAACAUUAACUCCCUGUGGAAAUCGAUCCCGACUUCCAGGUAAAAGCUGCAUCAACCACUCCUCGCCAUUAUAUAGUGGUGUAGGGUUAGAGCCGAUCACCUUUUUGGCGCCGUUGCCGGGGAGUUAAAUGGUUUUGGCUAUCUAUCUGACUAGUUGUGUGUCUUGGUUUUCUUUCCUUCUGUUUUACUAACUUGUGUGAGUUAAUCGAUUCAGGUACAAAAUGGCAAAUAAUAAUCUUAUCGGAAAUGUUCUC